UUUUUUUUUUUUUUUUUUUUUUUUUCCUUUCUUUUUAGGGCCGCACCCAGAGCACAUGGAAGUUUCCAGCUAGGGAUCCAAUCAGAGCUGCAGCUGCCCACCUACGCCAAAGCCAUAGCAACGCAGGAGCUGAGCCGCUUCUGUGACCUGUGCCACCACUCACAGCAAUGCCAGAUCCUUAACCCACUGAGCAAGGCCCGGGAUUGAGCCCGCAUCCUCACAGAGAUAGUGUCAGGUUCUUAGCCUGCUGAGCCACAAGGGGAACUCUGAAUUCUGCCUUUUCUUCCUUCUUCUGUUGGGUUCCCCUCGCCUUUGAUGUAGGGAAUACAGAGGAGGUCAGGUGAGUGGUAAAGUUAGAGAAAAUUUCAGAAAGUGACAUGAUACCAUAAAACAUUCAGGGAGUUCCCGUCGUGGCACAGUGGUUAACGAAUCCGACUAGGAACCAUGAGGUUGCGGGUUCGAUCCCUGCCCUUGCUCAGUGGGUUGACGAUCCGGCGUUGCCGUGAGCUGUGGUGUAGGUUGCAGACGUGGCUCAGAUUCCACAUUGCUGUGGCUCUGGUGUAGGCAGGCAGCUACAGCUCCGAUUCAACCCCUAGCCUGGGAACCUCCAUAUGCCGCGGGAGCGGCCCAAGAAAUGGCAAAAAGACCAAAAAAAAAAAAAAAUCAGGUCCUCCUGGGAGGGCCCAGGGGGUGAGGACUGCUAGCUGUGCAACUUACCUGCCCUGAGUGCGUGCCCAGGGCCUGAGUAUGGUCUCAACCAUAGCAGACCUCAGAGCAUGCUCAGCAUCGCCUAGGAGCUUGUUAGACAUAAUACAGAGUCUCAGACCCCCGCCUCGCCUCGGAUCCGAGUGGGCGUUUGAACACAAUGCCCAGGUGAUUCAUAUACAGGUUAAAGUCUGAGAAGUGCUAGAACAUGACUGGGAGAGCCCCAAAUGUGAUCCGCAACAAACCGCUUCAGAGGCCCUUGGGAAGUCUGUUUAGAGAAUGGAUCCCCAAUCCUCACCCCAAACCUAGAAUUAGAAUCCUUGGAGGUGGGGUUCAGGGACCUGCAUUUCAAAGAAGCUCCCAAAGAUUUUUUUUUUUUUUUUUUUUUUUUUUUUAGCCAUGCCUGGGGCAUGAGGAAGUCCCCAGGCCGGAGACUGAACCUGCGCUGCAACACUAACAGCUUUGGAUCCUUAAUCACUAGGCCACAAGGGAACUCUNNNNNNNNNNNNNNNNNNNNNNAGUUUCUUUCUUUUCUUCGUCUAAAAAGACUCCCACUCGUGGCAUAUGGAAGUUCCCAGGCCAGGAGUCGAAUCGGAGCUGCAGCUGCUGGCCUAUACCACAGCCACAGCAACACAGAAUCCAAGCUGCAUCUGCAACCAACACCACAGCUCAUGGCAAUGUCGGAUCCUCAACCCACUGAGGGAGGCCAGGGUUCAAACCCAUGUCCUCAUGAAUACUAGUUGGAUUCAUUACCACUGAGCCACAACAACAAGAACUCCCCCCUCCCCAAGAGUUUUUAAUGUGCAUUUGGGAGCACCGGUGCGCUGAAGAAUUCAAGCCUGAGAUCAGGAACCUGACCUUCACCUAUGGGCUAAGGAGCAAGACCUUGCCCUCCCCCAGGCUCAGUCUCCUCCCCUGUGAGAUGGAGGGGGCAGGACCCACCCUUGCAAGUUCUCUGAGCACCAGCUGAGAAAUGACCAGCUGGGUAACUGGAAGUGACAGCUGCUGAUGGAAACCCGAGCCUCCUUCAGUGAUGACAUCACAUCCCUGGCUGGUGCCACGGAAGGAAGUCAGAUCCAGGUGGCAUUUGGAGACGAAGAUUCUACCCUGGCUGUGCCGCUAACUCCCUGCAAGACGUUGGGCAGAUGAGCCCACCUCUCUGGUCUCAGCUUCUCAACUUUCUCAACAGCCAAGCAGAGGGUUGUAACACGUGCAGGAUCACCCGGAAUCUUAGGUCAACUCUAAGACUUCCUGGGAUUCUGGAAUCUGUCAUGUGCAUAGAACCGCCCUCCAGAUGGACCCCACCUUCCCAGGUGAAAGCAGAGACUGAAAGGCUCUGGGAUGAGCGAGCGAGCGAACAAGUCAGCCCACCCAGCAGGGACACACGGCAGAGACAGGCCUGGUUGUCUCCAUGUUCCAGAAACAUGGCUUUCUCAGUCUGGCUCUCCUUCUGAAACUCUAAAAUCAACACACACAAGGAAACAAACAAACAAAACUGAUUCUCCAGUGGUUCUGCAUCCCCCAGCCCACCUGACAGGGCACCUGCCCACCAGGGUUCCAAAUAUAACUAACUGACCCAGAUUCCUGAACCCAAGGGCCUCCAUCAGGGUGUGCACGGCGACAGCAGUCAGGACAAACUUUAAUGCUAUACUGACCCCCUGUGGAAGUCAGAGGUGGCAGCCACUCCUCCCACCUUGGGCGUCCCCCAGCCCCUAAAUCCCCCACUCCAGCCCCCCUCCCAUCCUCCCAACAUCCCCGGAUGUUCUCAGGGAGGGCCCUUCACCAGCUGCCACCUCUGAGGCUGAGAGCGCCAGCUGAACGGGACUGUGUCCUGGGGAGCCCCUGCCAAGGUCAGAUGGAGGACAAAGGAGGGGAGCGUGCCCUCUGCUCCAGCCUCUGUCACCCACUGGCCUAGCUGGGAUAAAGCAGCAGAUUCCCAACAUCCUCCCGACUCCCAGAUUCAUCCUCUCUGGGGUGAAGCUUCUUUCCUGCUGAUAAGCCAUCACUAGCACCUUGUGGCCCACGGAUGAAGCUCAGUCCUUGGCCUGACUUGCAAGGCUUCCCAGGAUCUAGUCCCCGUCUGCCUCUCCAGCCUCCUCCCUCACCCCCCAACCCGGCCUCAGCCAGGCCAGGAGCUCAGAAGUAGUCCCAGACCCUGCAGUUUCCUAGGCCACGCCUUUGCCCAGGCUGUUCCUGCCCAACAUGCCCAGGUCUCACCCGGACAGAAGUGCCCCCUCUUCACCAAGCCUUCCCUCAUCACUCCAGCUCCCCACAGCAGAAGGAAGCCGAAGGCCUGGGUUUGCACCUGCUCCUGCCUCAUCCCUGAUGUCAUAGCCCCUCUCUCAGCUUCAGGUUUCUCAGGUGUAGAAUGGAGGUAACGACUCCAGCCACGUGUAGCUCCCAGGAGGGCCACUGAGGUGUCAUGAGAUAAUAGGGAGCUUUGGGAAGUGUUGAGACAGCACCCAGGUUACAGUGCCACACUCUGUCCCGCAUCUCAGAGAAGUUUGGUCUCACACACUAGCCCUGAACAACAGAGAGCUGCCAUGGGAGCCAGCAAGUGACAGGGUCAAGCCUGGAACCCUGAGGCCCACAUUCGUGUCAGCUGCCAGAGACACCAUGAUGCCCUCAGAAAGCCCUUGCAUAGGGAAGGAGUCUUGAGGUGAUAGUUCAGGGCAGUGAGGAUGGGGAGAGAAGCAGACUCGGAGAAAUCAAGCCUUAAUUUCUCAGACAGCCUAUCCGUCUCUCCACUUUGUAGCCUGGGAGCAGACAGGGCACAGGGACUGGUGCCUGUGAUCUGGAGUCAGACAUCAGGGCGUGAGUCCCAGCUCACGGCUCACUGGCUGGGGACUUUGGGCAGGUGACUCAACCACGUACCUCAAUUUCCUCAACUUUCGCAUGGGGCUGAUAGUCAAGCCCACAACACAGAAGUGUCAACACGUGUGCACAGCAUGGUCAGCCCAUAUUGUGAACCAGAACAUGCCAGGCCUUUGCUCUUUCACCUGAGUCCACCAGCCUGGCUUGGCCUCCUCCCACCAAACCUCACUCUUUCGCCAGCCAUUCAUCCAAUAUUCAACUGGCUCAUAAGGCAAACAACCUGAGUCAUGAACAAGUUAAGGGUAACUGCCCUCUGCAUUCUGGGGGGUAGGAGAUGCCAAAGGGUGCAGGCGAAACCUGAGCCAUGUGGCGGGGAAGUGGAGGGGGGUGUGCAGUGGAGGACUGGGGGGAUCAGGGAAGCCUUCCUGGAGGAGGUGGUAUCUAAGCCAUUACCCAAAAGGUAAGGAGGCAUCGGCUGAGGGAAGGGAGGAAGGAGAGCAGGCGAAGCAGAGGCCACGGGUGAGAAAAGGAGAAACUUAGUUGUGGAAACGGAUGGAGGAUGGAGCAGAGAAGGGGAGGGGUGGUCGGAAGAGAGGACAUGGGGAAGGCCACCUGGACCCAAGGCCACAGAAAUCCUGCUGAUGUGAGUGGACGUCCUCAAAGGAAAAGGGAAAAGUCAUUCUCAGGGGUGCGUUUUAGAAAAAUCCAGUGAUGAUAAAAAGACAAGCGGGAGGGGACUAAACUAGACUCAGGAAGACAGGAAGUGUAUCCUAGGGACCAGGCACGGCCCUCAGCACCUUCCACGUUUAUUAGCUAAUUUCCUUCUCACCAUAGCAAUGGAGGAGGAACUGCUAUUACCCCACUUUGCAGAUGAGAAAGUUGAGGCCCAGAGAGUUUAAGUAAUUUGUCCCAAGUCACAGAGCAGUAAGGAUGCAGGGUAAAGGGAGAAGACCAAGGCCUUGAGGAACAGAGAGCAAGCAUGCUGGGGCCUCAAGGACAGGCUGCCUGGGACCAGGGCUCCAUGUGGCAAGGUUGGGGGUUGGGUCCCAAGAGCCCUGCCUCUGGAACCACAAGCCCUGGGAAGGUUUCCUGCUCUGCUCAUUCAACUCCAUGAGCUCAGACAACUGAUGCUUCCUCUCAGCCUCCUUGGCUGCAAGGAAGACAUGAUGAGACCCAUGAGAAUGAGCAAGAGAAGGGGUGGGCACCCAUGAGGGCACCCCUCCCACCUUUCCCCUGCAGGUGGCCCACCGAGACCCCACAGACCAAGAAGAUGCAUGGAGGAUGCUGUCCAUCACAGCAGGAAGAGGCCUUUCCCAGGAACAGGCUUCUCUGGGCAAUGGCAAACAAGUUGUAGAUGCUUGUUUCCCUCUUUGCUUUGGCUGCCAGGGAGCUCGAAGCCAUGUAUAAACCUGAUCAUCCAGGCCAUCAGCUUUCUAGUCCUCACCAAGAAAGGCUAAUUCAGAAGACCUUUCCACAGGUACAGAUGACUCCCCAGUACACACUUCGGAGAACAAACAUUCCCUUGGCUAUAUCUUAUGUCGCUACCCUUAUUUAUUCCUAGUUCUCAUUUCCUUAUUUUUUUCCUCCAAAAUAAAAAUCAUGAUAAUGUUCUUGUGAAUACUUUGGUGAGCAUUCUUCCUGACAGGCAUGAAAAUGAAAGUAGAAUUUUAUAAAAAUGAGAUUGUGUAAUUGACUCAACUAUAUGUCAAGGAAAGAUUUUCAUGUCAAUGACUAUAACUCCACAUGACAUAUGGAUUGCCAUAAUUUAUUUAGCCAGAUCCCUAUUUCUGUGCAUUUAGGUUAUUCCUCAUUUUGGCAAUUACAAAGCAAGCUGCCAUGGAAAGUCUGGUGCAUUUCUCCCAUUUCUGUGAUAUUAUUCUGAUGAAAAUUUCUCAGAAAUGAUCUCUUACUUUUGUAUUCUUUGCAUUUGCUGAUUGGUAAAUCUUUGGAAGAAUAAAAAGAAAAAAUUCUUACAAGAUAAAAUGUAUGAUGACAUAUUUACCCAUUUAUCAAUAUGAUGGAAUACUAUUUAGCCAUUAAAAGGAACAAAGCACUGACACACGCCACAACACAGACAGACCUUGCAAACAUUAUGCCAAGUGAAAGAAGCCUGUCACCAAAGACCACAUACUAUGUGAUUCCAUUUAUAGGAAAGGCCCCUAAUAGGAAAAUCUACAAAGAUGGAAUGUUCCAUCCCUGGCCUCACUCAGUGGGUUAAGGAGCUAGCGUUGCCGUGAGCUGUGGUGUAGGUUGCAGACUUGGCUCGGAUCCUGUGUUGCUGUGGUUGUGGCAUAGGCCAGCAGCUGCAGCUCCAAUUCAACCCCUAGCCUGGAACUUUCCAUAUGCUGCAGGUGAUGCCCUAAAAAGAAAAAAUGAAAAUAUUUGAAAAUUGACAGGGUGAGGUUGCACAACUUGGAGAAGACCAUUCAACUGUACCACUGAAUUGUUCAUUCUAAAUGGGUAAAUUGUAUGGCAUAUAUCUCAAUAAAUCUGUUACAAAAACCAAAAUAAAAUAAAAUGAAAUUUGUGAACAGAUCCUCAGGAGUCAGAAGGGAGUUGAGAGGCCCGUUGGGGGACGGGGGACAAAGGAUUUGCCAUCAAGGGCCUCCCUGUCCCAGGGAAGAAACCAGGAGGCAUCGCUUGGCCCCAGACCUGAGGCAGAGGCAGUGGUGACAGAAGACUUCCUCCGAGGUUUGGGGGGAUACAGGAGACAUUCCCAGGCCCGCAGGGCCUCCUGCCAGUCCAGCCCGUUUCCCUAAGCCCAUGACCCCAAGCAGCUGGCUCCCACCUGCUCAGAAGGCCAGGAAGGCAGGCAAAGCCUCUUCGGGCACCC
Molecule: long non-coding RNA, 6352 nt
Filed under: Sus scrofa (pig)
Lineage: Eukaryota; Metazoa; Chordata; Mammalia; Artiodactyla; Suidae
Description: lncRNA (ENSSSCG00050004781.1)
Source: RNAcentral